GUCCUUCCCGGUUGCCUGGCGAUAGGAAGCGGACAGACAGAUAGGAACUGUCUGCUCUUGUGGGAGAUGGCUGCAGAGCGCCGUGACCGGUGCCAGCCCGGAAGCCGAACCGCCCUACCGAGCCCUGAGGGCGACCACAGAAACCCGUCCAGACACACUGAACACAGCAAAGCAGGCGCCUUCCCACACACACCUCCCCGGGUCCUCUGCGACCUUUGGUCUCUUGAGUUUUCAAAACUCUGGAAACCUCUACAGCAGUUAGAAAUCAGGAAUGUUUCUGUAAAAGCAGAGCACUCUACUCGUGCGGUAGCGCCUGUCAUCCGGCCAAGGAGGAAGCAAGAGGAGCAGCUGCACCAGUAGAAUUAAACGUGUAGAAUUAAGCGUGUCCCCCUAGUGCUCUGCACAGGAAGAAAGUCCUCCACCUGACCGCAGGCAGCAGGCCGGCCUCCUACAGGAAAAGCAAAGCCCACUGGUGAUGCCCAAUGUCUCUGCAGCACCAUAGGAGGAGGCCCGAGGCUGCCGUGUCACCUGAGAGAGAGUGUGGGGUCAGCCAGGCCUACAUCUGAGACCAUGUCUAGAGACAAGGGAGGAGCUCCCUCCAAGCCUUGGACUCCAGCUGGUGACACUACUUUAGAAACCUUAAGAGGGAAGCCUAAUCAAAGAGGACCAGGGUUCAGUUCCCAGUAUCCACAUGAUGGCUCACAACCGUCUACUGCUCCAGGCAUACAGGAAACUGAAAAGAAAAGGAAGCUGCCUCCUCCCUCACCCUGUCAUCCCCCAGCUGGGCAAACUGCAUCUCUCCCAUGUGACUCAGCUCUCUCCAUCUACAGUGUCAUUCCACCCAAACCAAAUAAAACAGUGGAGGACUGACUGGAUUCUCAUGUCAAUAUUUGUUUCUGAUUCUGAAAUUCUACAGUAGUAAUAUUUUCCGUGUUACCCAGCCACCUGGGUAGGUUUUAAUUAUAGUGCCUGGGCUGCAGAGGAGCUCAGCAUUCACUGGCUGCUCUUGGAGAAGACCUGCUUUGAUUCCCAGCACUCAAAAGGCAUCUCAGAAGUGUUUGCAAGUGCACCCCAGAGGAUCCAAUAUCCUCAAUAGAACAUGAACAAAAUUUCAAGGAUUUUCUUCCUUCCUUCCUUCCUUCCUU
RNAcentral lists this long non-coding RNA (1145 nucleotides) under Cricetulus griseus (Chinese hamster). RNAcentral's name for it is "lncRNA (ENSCGRG00015038453.1)". The record is from RNAcentral. Lineage: Eukaryota; Metazoa; Chordata; Mammalia; Rodentia; Cricetidae.